RNAcentral lists this ribosomal RNA (253 nucleotides) under uncultured bacterium. RNAcentral describes it as "partial 16S ribosomal RNA". It matches the Rfam family "Bacterial small subunit ribosomal RNA", at positions 524 to 776 of the family's 1533-position model. The record is from RNAcentral.
UACGAAGGGGGCGAGCGUUGUUCGGAUUUACUGGGCGUAAAGGGCGCGCAGGCGGCUCAUUUUGUCAGGCGUGAAAGCCCCGGGCUUAACCUGGGAACUGCGUUUGAUACGGAUGGGCUAGAGUUCGGGAGAGGAGAGUGGAAUUCCCAGUGUAGAGGUGAAAUUCGUAGAUAUUAGGAAGAACACCAGUGGCGAAGGCGGCCUUCUGGACGAUGACUGACGCUGAGACGCGAAAGCGUGGGGAGCAAACAGG